CAUCUCUCUCUCUCUCUCGCACAAGAUCUCUCUCUCUCUCUCUCUCGGUGCGUGCGUGCGCACAGUUCACACCACUAGACCCAAACCCUAAACCAAAUCAGGGGAGCUCUCGUUGCCGGAUCGCUGGCCUAUCGUCCGGAUGUCCGCCGCGUCAGUUCCCCACAGCUACGGUGCCGCCAGCCACCACCGUUCCAUUGCCUUGGAUUCGGCUGUGCGCGUGGGCUGGGAACCAUUCUCUGUUGUCUGAUACGUCGUUGGAGCGGGAGGUUUGGUCGGUCGAGGCCAGGUAUGAGCAGCUCCUGAGCUGGAUGGAUGGAUGGAUGCAGGUCAUGUGUCGUGAACUAACACCACGACACCUCUUUUGGAACGGAGGGAGUAUAUUUUGGAACGGAGGGAGUAUGUAUGUACGUAUGGAUAUCAUGGUCAUGUUGCUUGGGGUUCAACCUCUUUUUUGGCUAAAAAUGAGGGGCGAUGCCCAUAAUUAUGAAUGUGGCUGUGGCGAGGUGCGACUAAAUAGUGCCUAAAAAUUGGUGUCUGCGCUGGAGUUGGUCUUAGAGCCCACCCUUACCUCUGUUGCAGCCUGUCCAAUUCAUCGCCAAUGUUGUUGGAUGUUCUGUGCCUUGGACGGUCGUUCUGAUGAGUGAUAACCCGGGAAGUUCUCUUACAUUGUGAUGGGUGGAUUAUGCAGCAAGAGAUGUGAGUGUUGGGUUUGAAGAUGAAAUGCAAAACUGAGCCCUCUCUUGCUAUGUUACAUAUACUCAGUUCAGUUGCAUUUUGUUCUGGAUCAGGGAUGGAUCCUCCUCUCUCUCUCUCUCUCUAUCCCCCUCUCCCUACGAAGAAGAAGAAGAAGAACAAACCAGUGAAGCUCUCAUCGCCGACUCGCUGACCGAUCGUCUGGGUGGCUGCCACAUCAGUUCCGUGUUGCUAUGGUGCUACCAGCCUGCCAUUCCAUUGCCUUGGAUUUGGUUGUGGCAUGGGCUGGGAACCGUAGAGUUCUGUUCUGAUGUGUCUGUCUGUGACGAGGUUUGGUCGGCUGACGCCAGGUAUGAGCAGCUCCCGAGACUGUCUAAGUUACUCACCACUAUGGCCAGUCUGAUGGAUGGAUGGAUGCUACUGUGUGAUGAAGAGAUGGAGUUCUUACCAGGGGUGAUGAUGAUGACCAUGGCUGAAAUAAGCAUGUCUUGAGCAAUUAAGGCAGCUGUGGCCUGUGGGUACUAAAUUAGAGCGCACCCUUACCUCUCUUGCAGCAAUUCAAUUCAUAGCUAAUGUUGGAUGUUCUGUGCCUUGGACGGUCAUUCUGAUGAAUGAUAACCAGGGCAGUCCUCUUACAUCGUGAUGGGUAGAUUAUGCAGCAAGCUAUGUGAGUGUUGGGAUUUAAGAUGAAAGGCAAAACUGAGCCCUCUUUUGCUACGCUACAAAUAUUUGAUUUUACCUUCUUUAAUAUGCAUUGUUUUUUUUCUUUUCUAUUCCUCUCUAUUGUGUUGAUGUGAGUAACGACCCAUCUGGACUUGGAUUUAUGUCUUCUGAACACAACAUAUUUGUUUCCGUUGUGUGUUGAUGAGUUCUAUUCUUUUUCUGAAUGGCUAUGAUGAUUUCCUCCCACUUGGUGUUGAAUAUCUUUCAACAUAUCAUGAGAUAUAGAUGCUUUCACGUCUCCUAAAUUGGUUCCAUUCAACUUUGCCCAGUUAGACAGUUAGUUAUACUAGAAGGUCUUGCUCUAUAGCAAGUUACCAGUUACGGCUAUUUGUUGCUGGGCGGGGAAAGAGAGAGACAGAGAGAGAUGGUAAGGAGACCUGAAGGAUUGGAAUAUCACCAAAGAACUAGCAAUGGACAGGGGUGCAUGGAAAUUAGCUAUCCACUCGCCUACCCCAACUUGUUUGGGACUGAAAGGCUUUGUUGUUGUUGUUUGGUACCAUAAGGCUUCAAGUACUACCUGAAGCGUUGUCCAACUUUGGUGAUUUAUGGUGGGUUAAAUCUGAGCCAUUCAAGUAAUACUCCACAAUUUUCCUGGAUUUCACGAACUAUUCCUCGUGCAUGUGAUUGUUAUGACACCUAUGUCUGAUACUUCUACUACUGUUUGAUUACAGUAAUUUGAUCAGUGAGAUUUUCCUACUAACUUUUCUUUGUUUCUUCUUGAUUUGAAGAAUGCCCGUUUGGCAACUGUGAAUGGUC
RNAcentral lists this long non-coding RNA (2172 nucleotides) under Hordeum vulgare. RNAcentral describes it as "long non-coding RNA (HVUL_LNC008095)". The record is from RNAcentral. Lineage: Eukaryota; Viridiplantae; Streptophyta; Magnoliopsida; Poales; Poaceae.